CAUGCGAGUCGCGCGAGAAUGUAGCAAUACAGGAAAGCGGCGAAAGGGAGAGGACAACAUGGGAAUCUGCCCGGGGGUCGAGGAUAGCGUCGGGAAACUGACGGUAAUACUCGAUAAUGUUUACGGACCAAAGGUUUACUGCCCCUGGAUGAGCCCAUGCCCCAUUAGCUAGUUGGCGGUGUAAUAGACCACCAAGGCGAUGAUGGGUAGCUGGUGUGAGAGCACGACCAGCCUCACUGGCACUGAGACACUGGCCAGACACCUACGGGUGGCUGCAGUCGAGAAUCUUCGGCAAUGGACGAAAGUCUGACCGAGCGACGCCGCGUGCGGGACGAAGGCCUUCGGGUUGUAAACCGCUGUCGAGGGGGAUUAAGGGCAACUUGAAAGAACCCUGGAGGAAGGAGAGGCUAAGCUCGUGCCAGCAGCCCGCGGUAAGACGAGCUCUCCAAACGUUAUUCGGUAUCACUGGGCUUAAAGAGUUCGUAGGCGGCUUUGCAGGUGGGGUGUGAAAGCCCUCGGCUCAACCGAGGAAUUGCGCCCCAAACCGUAAGGCUUGAGGGAUAUAGGGGUAAGCGGAACAGAUGGUGGAGCGGUGAAAUGCAUUGAUAUCAUCUGGAACACCGGUGGCGAAGGCGGCUUACUGGAUAUUUUCUGACGCUGAGGAACGAAAGCUAGGGUAGCGAACGGGAUUAGAUACCCCGGUAGUCCUAGCCGUAAACGAUGAGCACUAGUUUGAAGGACUCUCACA
Molecule: ribosomal RNA, 748 nt
Filed under: uncultured organism
Description: bacterial SSU rRNA
Rfam family: Bacterial small subunit ribosomal RNA
Source: RNAcentral